RNAcentral lists this ribosomal RNA (468 nucleotides) under uncultured bacterium. Its description in RNAcentral is "partial 16S ribosomal RNA". It matches the Rfam family "Bacterial small subunit ribosomal RNA", at positions 28 to 507 of the family's 1533-position model. The record is from RNAcentral.
GACGAACGCUGGCGGCGUGCUUAACACAUGCAAGUCGAACGGAAAGGCCCUGCUUUCGCGUGGUGCUAGCGUCGCGAACGGGAGUGUAACCCGUGGGUCACCUGCCCUUGACUUUGGGAUGACUUCAGGAAACUGCUGCUAAUACCGGAUACGUGCUCCUGCUGCAUGGUGGGGUUUGGAAAGUAUCGGCGGUAGGGGAUAGACGCGCGGGUUAUUAGCUUGUUGGUUGAGGAGUGGCCUACCCAGGCUUAGACGGAUAGUCGGCAUGAGAGGGUGGACGGCGACAUGGGGACUACGAGACGGAGCAGACGGGUAUGGUAGGCAGCAGUGGGGAGUAUGGCACAAUGAGGGGGAGCGUGAGGAGACAGCGCUGCGAGUGGGAUGACGGCCUUCUGGUGGUAAACCGCAGUCGCCUGUGACGAAGCGGUAGUGACGGUAAUGGGUAAAGAAGCACCGGCUAACUACGUG